Molecule: ribosomal RNA, 466 nt
Filed under: uncultured bacterium
Lineage: Bacteria
Description: bacterial SSU rRNA
Rfam family: Bacterial small subunit ribosomal RNA
Source: RNAcentral
AGAGUUUGAUCAUGGCUCAGGAUGAACGCUGGCGGCGUGCUUAACACAUGCAAGUCGAACGAACCUUCGGGUUAGUGGCGGACGGGUGAGUAACGCGUGAGAAUCUGCCCUCAGGAGGGGGAUAACGGUUGGAAACGACCGCUAAUACCCCAUAUGCCGCGAGGUGAAAUGAAUUUCGCCUGAGGAUGAGCUCGCGUCUGAUUAGCUAGUUGGUGGGGUAAAGGCCUACCAAGGCAUCGAUCAGUAGCUGGUCUGAGAGGAUGAUCAGCCACACUGGGACUGAGACACGGCCCAGACUCCUACGGGAGGCAGCAGUGGGGAAUUUUCCGCAAUGGGCGAAAGCCUGACGGAGCAACGCCGCGUGAGGGAUGAAGGCCUCUGGGCUGUAAACCUCUUUUAUCAAGGAAGAAGAUCUGACCGUACUUGAUGAAUAAGCCACGGCUAAUUCCGUGCCAGCCGCCGCGGU